UGACAUCCUGGUCCUGGGACUGCAAAC
Molecule: non-coding RNA, 27 nt
Filed under: Homo sapiens (human)
Lineage: Eukaryota; Metazoa; Chordata; Mammalia; Primates; Hominidae
Source: RNAcentral